UGUACUACUCGUGAAUCAUCGAAUCUUUGAACGCAAAUUGCACUUUUUGGCUCGCCAAAAAGUAAUGCCUGUUUGAGUAUCAUUUCUCUCUCUACCAAACGCAAGUUUCGUGUAGGUCUUGAGUGUACUACCCGUGCAAAUGGGUCACUCUAAAUGUAGUCUAGAAGUGGCGAGACGUUCAGCAUUGAAUUUGAUCUUUGACCAUGAUCUGGGCCAUUUGUGUUCAAGUCUCUCGAGACAAAGCUCACCUAUGGCAUUCAACUAGAUCAUGUGAUAUUAUUUAUUCAUUGUGUUUUGCGACCUAGAGGCAUUCACGUGCCGCAAAUAAGACAAUGACAGUCGUCUGCGUCUUUAAAUCUUGAUCUCAAAUCAGGUAGGAUCACCCGCUGAACUUAAGCAUAUCAAUAAGCGGAGG
RNAcentral lists this ribosomal RNA (415 nucleotides) under uncultured Hymenochaetales. Its description in RNAcentral is "eukaryotic LSU rRNA". The stretch from base 360 to 415 matches the Rfam family "Eukaryotic large subunit ribosomal RNA", at positions 1 to 56 of the family's 3401-position model. The record is from RNAcentral. Lineage: Eukaryota; Fungi; Basidiomycota; Agaricomycetes; Hymenochaetales.